GCGACAUCCGGCACCGAGGCAGUCCGGGCUCCGCACUCUGUUCGGGCUCCGGUGCAGCGCGACGCGGCUCCGGAGAGACCGAGCGACUCGACCAGUUCACCCAGAUCCGGAUUCACCCCGGGAGGGGAUGGACUGAACCGAUCCGACAUCUGAGGGUCUGAGGCCCGAUGGAAGCUGCGACACAUCCGGACCCGGAGCGUCUGGAUCCCGGUUCCUGAUCCGUGUGGGGGGGUCUCGGUGUUUUUCGGUUCCGGUCGGAUCCUCGUCCGCGUUCUGGUCUGGAUUAAAACGAUCAUGAAUCAUCCGCCUCCGCUCCUCUAAUCUGGAUUUAAAUCUGAGAUCGGAUCUGGAUUAGUCUGCUCCUGGUUCUGAUCGGGUCACAUCUAACCCGGUCUGAACCGGUCCUGGUCCCGGUGUGAUCUUUGGUCCUCUCUGGUCCCGGUUCCCUCUGCUGUCAUCAUGCCGACGUCCCGGCCUGGUUCUGAGCCGGUGGAGUUCUGGGUCGAGGGUUCGAGGCGGGACGGGACGGUGGAGGAGUUCUACACCCUGAGCUCCGAGCUGGGCAGAGGAGCCACGUCCAUCGUUUAUCGCUGUGAAGAGAAACAGACUCAGAAACUCUACGCUGUCAAAGUCCUGAAGAAAACGAUUGACAAGAAAAUAGUUCGUACAGAAAUCGGAGUCUUGCUGCGUCUGACGCAUCCGAACAUCAUCCAGCUGAAGGAGAUCUUUGAGACAGACACUGACAUCGCUCUGGUUCUGGAGCUCGUGACUGGAGGAGAGCUGUUUGACAGGAUCGUGGAAAGAGGUUACUACAGCGAGAGAGACGCCGCUCACGUCAUCAAACAAAUCCUGGAGGCUGUGGCGUAUUUACAUGAACAUGGCGUGGUGCACCGUGACCUGAAACCAGAGAACCUGCUGUAUGCCGACCUGUCACUGGACGCUCCGCUCAAGAUAGCCGACUUUGGUCUCUCCAAAAUCAUCGAUGACCAAGUUACCAUGAAGACGGUCUGUGGUACCCCGGGAUACUGCGCUCCAGAGAUUCUGAGGGGAAACGCCUACGGACCUGAAGUGGACAUGUGGUCAGUGGGCGUCAUCCUCUACAUCCUACUGUGUGGGUUCGAGCCCUUCUUCGACCCGAGGGGCGAUCAGUACAUGUACAGCAGAAUCCUCAACUGUGACUACGAGUUUGUGUCUCCGUGGUGGGACGAGGUUUCCCUCAAUGCCAAGGACCUGGUGAGCAAGCUGAUCGUGCUGGACCCUCACAAGCGCCUCAGUGUCCGGGAGGCUCUGCACCAUCCCUGGGUGCUGGGGAAGGCCGCCCGCUUCUCACACAUGGACACCACUCAGAGGAAACUACAGGAGUUCAAUGCUCGGCGUAAGCUCAAGGCUGCCAUGAAGGCCGUCGUAGCCACCAGCCGCAUGCACGAGGGAUCGCGGCGUCGUACCGACAGCUGUGAGAUUCCAGGCUCAGGGGCUUCAAGGCAGAGCAGCAUGCAGCAGGACCAGCCUCCUGAUUCCACAGACGCCGCCCCUUCAGACCAUGAAGCCCCGCCCUCAGAUCAACAGCCACAAGACGCCGAAUCAAAGCCCACCGACAAAAGUGCUCAUAGCCCCUCGUCUCCACGUGUUCUCAAACCCCCCAGCUCUGAUGUCACGGCCACUGAGGCCCCCCCCACUAGGCCGCCGCUGCGGGCCGACGGGCUGCGGCAGGCGUCCGUCUGUCCUAAGACUGUGCUGGUCCAACCCCGACUGCCGCAAAAGAGCUGCUCCAUGGUAGAGCCCACCUCCAGAGUCGAGGCCACGCCCUCGAGUCCCAGCAGCCUCACUAAUGGCUUCACGCCAGUGGUGGAACCAGCCAGUAAGAUGCCCCAUGGCCAGUGAUCACCUGACAGAGUGGCCCCAGUUUCAUACAAUCACAACAAUCACGAGGUUCCAACUUCUUUCAUUUAAAACAUUUUUCCUGUAGCCACCUCUUCCAAUGCUACUCCAUCAGCUGUUGCUAACAUGCUAACAGCUACACACUCACAGUUGCUUUCUACCUGCGGUUGAGCUGCUGGUUUUUCGAGGCUAAAGGCUAACUGAACCGGAUCCUCCCAAACAUCCUCUAAACGCAGCCUUCGGGUGAAACCCGGUUUCUCGUGGUUAUGACGUGAGAAGUAGUGUUAACGUUAGUGGGCGUGGUCAAGUAUGAGCAGAAUGGUUUAGGGCCAACACGCUGCAGGAAGUCAAACAAGGCUCAUUGACCCGGAGAAGAGUCAAUUCCUUUGAUGGAAAAUUAAGAAAAUCAAGAAACUUUACAAAAUGUUAUUUUGUUAUCAAUGAAAAGUGAACUUCCAUGAAAACGAGUCAGUGUUCAUAGUCUCUGUUUCUGUGGCGGUGACAACCACCAGAGGGCAGCAUUCACAUAGACUUCUAUCAUAUCAAUAGUAAGGAAACUUUUCUGCUAAACUCUGACCUCUUGCUGAAUACUGUUGUGAUAUUAUCAUAAAUGAUAAUUUUCCAGUUGUGUGUAAAACAUUGCUGUUUUAGUCAAGAGAUUAAAUAUGUCUCUGAAUAUAUAAUUAUAGUGUUAAUGUUGGAUUUUAUUGGUGGUUUAUCUUCCAUUAAUAACAAUUAUCACGAAAUGUAAGAAGUCGGAGGCUGGUUACGUAAACUCACGUGUUAAACGAUACGACAUGAGUGCAUCAUCAUGAACCUGAGACCCUCAGACUCUUCAGGCUCAGAUCAAACUAAGUCUCUGAGUUUGGUUCUAACCACAUAAAGAAAAGUUUAACAGCUGAAUGUGAACCAGUGAAGUGAAGCGGUUCUGGACACGUGUGGAAUCCACUUGCUGUUAACUCAGGUUCAUAACGUUAUGUUGCUGGGAGCAGAUCUUAGGUUCUGAUCUGAGAUCUGAAGCCUCAUGUCUUUGAUCCAUAUUUCCUUUGAUCUGUUCUGGUUUCAGUUGUAACUUAGAGACUAAAGAACGAACGUCCUGUCGUCAUCACCUGCGUGGGCGGAGCCUACCUGUACUUGACUCUGAUGGUUCGUAGGCGGCGUCUGACAUGGGCGUGUUGUCAGCUGGGGGGGGGGGGGGGGGUAGUCUUUCUGUUUGAAUGGAGGAAAGGAGUGAAGCUUCACCUGUUUGCCAUGGUAACAUCAUGAUGGUAUCACUAGCAGCAUCAGCCCCUCCAGGCGCAGUACUCCACAGUACUACAGUACUCCACAGUACUCUGAAUGGGGCUUCCAAUAGAGGAAACAAACCAACGGUGGCUCAGACACUUCAACUGCACAGCGGAGCUUAGCCGAGUCAUGUGACUGAUCAGAACCAAUCAGGAAGAGAACGUCUGCGUCAUCGUUAACUAAAGUCCCAGUUUCUGUUCAGACUGAAACGAGACCAGUUUAUACCAGUUUACAUCAGUUUACACCAGUUUGAACCAGUUUGAACCAGUUUGAACCAGUCUCCGGUUCAGAGGCUGGAAAACUACACCAGGUGUAACCCUAGCAACAAGGAUGAGGUUUAAAAGGGGGCGGAGCUGUCAAGCAGCUGUUGUCUUGUGAUCGCUGUGUGUGUUGUUCUGUCUCAGCCACCGUACAAACAUGUUGGUCCCUUUAAAGAGGAAGUGAACACAAACCUCUGACCUCUGACCUGAGGCUGAGGGGCUCUGAUUGGUCGAGGAGCUCUGACAGAUGUGUGUGUUCCUCAGGUGAGAAACUCGGGCGAAUCUUUACUCUUCUGUACAAACAUGAAUAUUUUACUUAUAUUAAUCUGCCUGUGGGGGCGUGGUUGAGGUUGGGGUGGGCGGGGCCUUGCCUGUAAACGUAUCGUCUUGUGUUUGAUAAACCUGUAGCUCUUUUAUUUUGAAGGAUGAAACCUGUAGCUCUUUUAUUUUGAAGGAUGACCUAUAAACUGUCAUUGCAUGUAUUAUUUAAUUUUGUUGAUCGAAUCAGAUUAAAGCAGGUUGAACUGA
Pleuronectes platessa (European plaice) is the source of this 3950-nucleotide RNA transcript. It is a transcript of the gene named calcium/calmodulin-dependent protein kinase type IV, with no coding region annotated. Lineage: Eukaryota; Metazoa; Chordata; Actinopteri; Pleuronectiformes; Pleuronectidae. The record is from RefSeq and is a predicted model, not a curated record. The transcript has 12 exons.